AUGGAUAUCAGUUGCCAGAGAAACCUGGAUUUACUAUGGCGGUUGGAGGGACAGCGGUGCACACACGUCCUGCUGGAGAGAGCUGGAUUCUCGUUUCAGGUCACCAUCAGAAAAACUAAGUUUGGCAUACAGUAAGGAUCAGGAGAUCUGAUCCUGAUUGCAGAACUGUCCUUGAUUACAGAGUCUUGGGUUGUGUCUUCUACUUCAUCCUUCCAGACCACCCUGAAGACCUGUAAGAUUCCACUUGGGAAAUUAUUUGCAGUUCUUGGAAAGGAAAGAAGGAAGAUUGUUGGUUGGAAUAAAAACAGGGUUGAAUGAGUUCCAGAAAGCAGGGUUCUCAAACUCGUGGACAGCAAUCUGCAGAAGAAGACAACUUCAAAAAGCCAUCCCGAAGCAAUAUGCAGAGAAGUAAGAUGAGAGGGGCCUCCUCAGGAAAGAAGGCAGCUGGUCCACAGCCAAAGAAUCUUGAGCCAGCUCUUCCAGGAAGAUGGGGUGGUCGCUCCGU
Octodon degus (degu) is the source of this 505-nucleotide long non-coding RNA. RefSeq lists it as uncharacterized. The transcript has 4 exons. The record is from RefSeq and is a predicted model, not a curated record. NCBI's taxonomy places the organism in Eukaryota, Metazoa, Chordata, Mammalia, Rodentia, Octodontidae.